AGUAAAUUUUGUGGUCAAGCUACUAAGGGCGCACGGUGGAUGCCUUGGCAGUAGGAGGCGAUGAAGGACGUGGUCAGCUGCGAUAAGCCUCGGGGAGCCGCAAACAGGCUUUGAUCCGGGGAUUUCCGAAUGGGGAAACCCCACAUGGUAAAACCGUGUGACGGCCCGAUGAAUCCAUAGUCGGGUACGAGCAAACCCAGGGAAGUGAACCAUCUCAGUACCUGGAGGAAGAGAAAGAAACCUCGAUUCCGAAAGUAGUGGCGAGCGAAAUCGGAAGAGCCCAAACCCAACGAACCUUCGGGUUCGGUGGGGGUUGUAGGACCCGCAACAGUAGAGUUACCAAUCCAGCCGUUAGCUGAAGCCCUCUGGAAAGAGGCGCCAUAGAGCAUGAAAGCUGCGUAGGCGAAAACGAUCUGGACUCGAAGCGGGCACCUGAGUACCGCGGGGCACGUGAAACCCUGCGGGAAUCUACGGAGACCAUUCCGUAAGGCUAAAUACUACCUACUGACCGAUAGUGAACCAGUACCGUGAGGGAAAGGUGAAAAGAACCCCUGCGAGGGGAGUGAAAUAGUACCUGAAACCGUGUGCCUACAAGCAGUGGGAGGGCUAUGCCCGUAAGGGAAUGCCUGACCGCGUGCCUAUUGCAUAAUGAGCCGGCUAGUUA
Molecule: ribosomal RNA, 664 nt
Filed under: uncultured Acidobacteriota bacterium
Lineage: Bacteria; Pseudomonadati; Acidobacteriota
Description: bacterial LSU rRNA
Rfam family: Bacterial large subunit ribosomal RNA
Source: RNAcentral